Molecule: long non-coding RNA, 1431 nt
Organism: Humulus lupulus (European hop)
Lineage: Eukaryota; Viridiplantae; Streptophyta; Magnoliopsida; Rosales; Cannabaceae
Exons: 3
Source: RefSeq, a predicted model, not a curated record
AAAUAUCAUGACAUAUAUUAACAUUAGAUAGAUAUGUAUCAUCCAUCUUAAUGAUGUAGAACUAUGUAGUAAUAACUACAAGUUUAUUUGUAAUAUAAUAGUAUUUUGUUGAAGAAUGUCUAAGAUUUCAAAUCUUGAGUGGUUUUGUUGUUUGUGAUAAGCUUUAUUAGUUAUACUGGUCUACUGAUUUGAAUGAAUACCACCAUAUUCUUUGCACUGAGUUUUGACCAUUGUAACAUAAGCUAUUUUUCUUGUAUAUUUUCAGACAGUACCAUUGAGCUUUGCUAAGGACACCUUAAGAAUGAGGGUUCUGUCAUUCUUUUGAUUCCGGACAGAGGAUUUUGGUCUGUUAAAUUUGAAAUAAAGCACAAAAACUAUAGCAAAAGGAGAAUUGAAUUUAGUUGUGGUUGGAAAGUCUUUGCCAAGGACAAUUAUUUGAAAGUUGGCGAUGUCUGCAUUUUUGAGCUUCUUAAGAGAUCCGAAAAUGUAUUCAAGAUUUCCAUUGAUUGUGCUGCUGAUUAUGCAUCCGACUAAAAUCUCAAGCUGGUGGAAUCAAAGCUCCUGCCGCGGAUCCCCUCUACUCUUAGACAGGUAUCUUACUCUCCAAACCCAUUUUAUGGUUUGAUUUUUUAUUUUACUGCCUUUCUCACUUGUUUAUAUGUACAUUUGUGUGUUUUUUUUAUUUCUAACACGGUAGCUCCCUCUUUCUCACAUUCUCUAUUACUCUCUCUCUCUCUCUCUCUCUCUCUCUCUAUUUAUAUGUGUGUUUAUGUAUUUUAUUUUAAUUUCUGUUUUGUUUUACUAAUUUUUUUUACUUGGUGAAAAGUCUCUCAAUCAAGUUUAUAUAGAUAUUUAUUUUAUAUACAUAUUUCAAUUUUCUUCUCUACUAAUUUUGUGCUCUGUUUUUUGUGUGUGUGUGAAAGGGGAAGACUUUAUGGGUUUGUUGUGUGCUCAUCUUAGGUCUCUCUCAACAUCCUAAAUAUUGCGAUAUCUAUAUGUUUUUUUAAUUUUUGUUUUGAUUUAUGUUGUAUUUUUUAGAAUGUAUCUAUGUGUUUUUUAAUUUGUGUUUUGAUUUAUAACGUUUAUAUGACGUAUUAUUUGUGGUUUGAGAUUUCUCAAAUAAUUUGAUGGUAAACAUGGUUAUGGAGGAUUAACGGUUGACCUUUACUAUGGUGGUUUUGGAAGUGAUCAUGGUUAUUGUGUCAAGAUUGUGGAAGAGGUCGUCACUAUCAAAGGCUUGGUUAUGCAGCAAAAAUGAAGUCAUCUAAUUCUAAAGAAGGAAGAGGAAGAUCAUUAAUGUUUAUGAGCUCAUCAGUAUGCUAGAGCUGGUACAGGAAUUUUUGGAGUGCUUAAAGCAAUGCGAAGGAUUUACGUUGAGAAAGACAAUUUUGAUCAUAGUCAAACCUACUGAAGUGAGAAAGCAGUCAUGGA